UUAUAUACUAAAUUAACCUGCGCAGCCUAACACAUGCAAGUCGAGCGGUAACAGAAAGUAGCUUGCUACUUUGCUGACGAGCGGCGGACGGGUGAGUAAAUGCUUGGGAACAUGCCUUGAGGUGGGGGACAACAGUUGGAAACGACUGCUAAUACCGCAUAAUCUCUACGGACCAAAGGGGGCUUCGGCUCUCGCCUUUAGAUUGGCCCAAGUGGGAUUAGCUAGUUGGUGAGGUAAUGGCUCACCAAGGCAACGAUCCCUAGCUGGUUUGAGAGGAUGAUCAGCCACACUGGAACUGAGACACGGUCCAGACUCCUACGGGAGGCAGCAGUGGGGAAUAUUGCACAAUGGGCGAAAGCCUGAUGCAGCCAUGCCGCGUGUGUGAAGAAGGCCUUCGGGUUGUAAAGCACUUUCAGUCAGGAGGAAAGGGUGUGAGUUAAUACCUCAYAUCUGUGACGUUACUGACAGAAGAAGCACCGGCUAACUCCGUGCCAGCAGCCGCGGUAAUACGGAGGGUGCGAGCGUUAAUCGGAAUUACUGGGCGUAAAGCGUACGCAGGCGGUUUGUUAAGCGAGAUGUGAAAGCCCCGGGCUCAACCUGGGAACUGCAUUUCGAACUGGCAAACUAGAGUGUGAUAGAGGGUGGUAGAAUUUCAGGUGUAGCGGUGAAAUGCGUAGAGAUCUGAAGGAAUACCGAUGGCGAAGGCAGCCACCUGGGUCAACACUGACGCUCAUGUACGAAAGCGUGGGGAGCAAACGGGAUUAGAUACCCCGGUAGUCCACGCCGUAAACGAUGUCUACUAGAAGCUCGGAACCUCGGUUCUGUUUUUCAAAGCUAACG
This 840-nucleotide ribosomal RNA is filed under the name Pseudoalteromonas sp. H22. RNAcentral describes it as "bacterial SSU rRNA". It matches the Rfam family "Bacterial small subunit ribosomal RNA", at positions 1 to 857 of the family's 1533-position model. The record is from RNAcentral. Lineage: Bacteria; Pseudomonadati; Pseudomonadota; Gammaproteobacteria; Alteromonadales; Pseudoalteromonadaceae.